UGUACAGCGGCCAUUUUGACAUUGUACAGGAUGAUGGCAGGAUAAUCAGCGUUAACUCGGAUCGUCAGAUUGCGCUUUAUGAUGCUGUAGCUCAAGCAACUGGCAGCAACACAGAAGACCCAAAGAAGGAAGCAUUAAUUCUACGUGAGAAAGUGAAAAAUGAGAUCCAGAAAAACUUUGAAUCGUACACACCCCUGCUUAUUCUCCAGAGAGGAUACGACUUCUGCCAAAAAAACCCUAGGAAAUAUGACAUAACUGGAGGAAGUAAAAAGGAGACGAAUGUUGCACUGCAGGAAUACUUACAGAGUGUUAGAUUCAUCAAAAGUGACAAACGGAUCCUUAUCAAAAUGUACCAUCUAGGAUUUGUUGGUGAAUAUAACAGUGUUCAAAGUGCUCGGAGGUCCAUUAAGAACAACACAGGAACGCUCAACACAAGCCAUAUUCCACCGAAGGACUCCAUCAGACUGGCUCAGACGGUCAUAGAAGACCCAAACUCAGGGAGUGAGAUUAAAAAUAAAAACCCAGCGCUUUAUAAACUGAUCAGCAGCAUAAAGACUGACAACAAUGGAUUGAACCUGAUUGCCAUGGAGGUUCUGGGACAAGAUCACAGACAAGCUUUGACUACAGGCCCAAGCAGCCGC
This is a long non-coding RNA of Ctenopharyngodon idella (grass carp), 641 nucleotides long. RefSeq lists it as uncharacterized. The record is from RefSeq and is a predicted model, not a curated record. The transcript has 3 exons. NCBI's taxonomy places the organism in Eukaryota, Metazoa, Chordata, Actinopteri, Cypriniformes, Xenocyprididae.